Molecule: long non-coding RNA, 2008 nt
Filed under: Sus scrofa (pig)
Lineage: Eukaryota; Metazoa; Chordata; Mammalia; Artiodactyla; Suidae
Description: lncRNA (ENSSSCG00050038039.1)
Source: RNAcentral
AUCAUAGGGAGUUCUCGGGCCAGGGAUCAGAUUGAAGCCACAGCCAGAUUCUUAACCCGCUGUGCCGGGCCAGGGCUCAAACCUGCAUCCCAGGGCUCCAGACACCACCCACCCCAUUGCACAGAGCGGAAUCCCUACGUGACCUUCCGAAUGCCAGGUUGCUAUCUCAAACGGCCUGAGCCAACUCCUGAGCGGAACGCCUCCGAGGCCACCCGGGGGCGGAAGGUCACUGACUGCCGUUCUCGGCCGGGCCGCAUCUCCUUCCUCCCCCAUUUACCAGAACUCGGAUCCUUUCGUGUCUCUAAAUGGAACUCCGAGGGAGCGCUUCCUCUUCCGACCCAACAAUCGUCUUUUUCUCUAGUUGACAAAUAUAAUGUUGGACUUCUUGGUGAUAAUGCAAAUGGAUUUUGAAUCUAAUUGAACUUUUUAUAUCAAAUAUUUCAAAAUAACGAUGACGUCCUGCUCAGCAGCCACAGAUGUUGCUCCCAGCCUCUUAAUAAUUCUUCUUUAGGAUUCAAAUUAUAACCCUCACUAAACAUCAUGGGUGAGCGUUUCUGAUGGUUUUGCUUCAAAUCCAUCAACUUUAUCAUGAAAUGUGAACAUAUUUUCAUAUAGUUUUUGCAAUUUUCGAAUAAGUUCAUUUCGGGGCUCCAAAAACGGCAGUGAAGUGAGCCAUUUUGGAAGCCAGGGACUUUGUGUCUAGAAAUCAGCCACAUGAGCAUCUGAGUUUGAGCCCCAACCUCGGGACCGCGCCUCCCCUGGCUCCGACCCCUCGGCUCCCGGACGCUGAAAACUGCUGGUAUUUGCCACAUUCCUCAGUUUGCAAUUUUCAGAUGCACAGGAAAGUUUUGCACGCCACCACUUGAAUUUGGGGGUUUUCAGGACACACUUGCCUCCUUCGUCUCACUGCAGCUGUGCUGUGCCUGACGGAUGCUCCUGAAAUGUUUUCAACACAAUCAUCGACCACGUGGAGAAUUUCAUUCGCCCAGCUGGNCUCUGUUGUGUCAAGGGCCGGCCCGAGCCCCUUGCUCCGCUGCCUUGACGCAGCGGACGGCAUAGCUGUUGGAUGUGUCGGUGGCCUGUGGUUUCUGUGUGGUCCCCUCUGGUUCCAGACCCUGGAUUUUUGUGCUGCCCUCAGUGUGGCCGAGGCAGCGUUACCAGUGAGGCCGUGGGCUCCGAGCUUUCUCCGCCCCCUUGAAGCCGAGGGACCGUGUUCUUACAUCCUGCGCUCCCUUUCCUGCCUUGAUCUGUCCUGGACCGAGAAAAAUGCAUGACCAUUUCCUGCCCUAACGUGUCCUGUUUCUGCCAAUCCUCUCUGAGCUCCUGCUCUGGGAGGGACGCCGCAGGGCGAUGCAGUGAUGUCCAGAAUUGCAGACUUUUUCGUGGACGGCACCCUUUGCCCUUAUAACGUGUCUUUUAUUUUGUAUCAUUUCUCUUGUAUUCAGAUAAGCCCUCUCUGAUGCUGGCUGUUGUUGCCCCUGCAUUUUUGUGCAUUUUUCCUGUAUGUGUCUGCAUCUAUUUUUACCUGCCUGAGUUGCUUUGUUUUUGAAUAAUCUCAGGAUCGGCCUGAAGCUGGGUUUCCUCCCUGGAUGAAAGGUGGAUGCAUGUGAGGCUCCUUCUGUUAUGCUUACACCAUCCGCUUUUGAUUAUGUCUGAAGCAUCUCUUCCACUCUAAGUCUCUGUGUCUUUUACGUGUCUGUUUUAUUGUUUGGAAGUUUGUUUGGUGAGUAUUUUAUUUUAUUUUAUUUGGGCUGCACCUGUGGCGCAUGGAGGUUCCCAGGCUCGGGGUCGAAUCAGAGCUACAGCCGCCGGCCUACGCCACAGCCUCAGCCGCGCCAGAUCCAAGUCGCAUCUGCACCCGACACCACAGCUCACGGCAAUGCUGGAUCCUUAACCCACGGAGGGAGGCCAGGGGUCGAACCUGCGUCCUCAUGGAUGCUAGUCAGAUUUGUUUCCGCAGAGCCCCGACGGGAGCGCCUGGGGGCCAUUUUAAAGUUCUAACUUUACG